AGCUCACAGCGCGGCCCACCCAGCAUCCGGGGGCGCUGUGAGGGGCGCUCGCCCAGCAGCGGAAAGGCCAUUCGCGUGGCGCGGGAGCGCGGGCCCGGCCGCCUGGGCGUGUCCCUUUCGCGGAACUGAGCUCACUGGCUCCUCUCUUCCAGACGGAGCGACGGGGCCGGCCGCAGCCUCAGCCACGCGUCCCUCGGUGGCGGGCAGGCUCCUCUUGGCCUGCAGCCUUACUUUCAUGCCCUUCUUCACAGUCUCCUGGGAGAUUAAGAUGAGUGAUCUAGAGGAGGAAGAUGUUGAUGAAUUCAGCUCCAGUGGUUUUAAGUGCCCAACAUGCUUUGCAGUGCAAGGAAGGAAAUGCGAUACAGAACUCAAAUGGUGUGCAGCAGAUAAAAUAAAGUGUAUUGAAUUCUCUGGCAUCAUAAACACAGGUAUUCGUGACGUAGCCAUUGAAAUGAAGAGAUGCACACAAGCAGACCUAUGCAAAGAGACGAUAACUUCUUAGAUGGGUUUUCCAAUUGCUAACAAGAGUAGAAAUUGCAAAUCAGCCAUCAGAAAUGGGGCCAGAAUCAGACCCCCAUCUCCCAUCUUCUUUGUUCUUUUCCUGGGGAGGGUACUUCAUGGAGCUCUGGCAAGAGCCUAGCC
RNAcentral lists this long non-coding RNA (642 nucleotides) under Homo sapiens (human). RNAcentral's name for it is "non-protein coding lnc-ZNF672-5:1". The record is from RNAcentral. Lineage: Eukaryota; Metazoa; Chordata; Mammalia; Primates; Hominidae.